AUGGGGAAACAACAAGACGGCAACGGAGAGACCAAAGAAAAGAAAAACAGAGCAUCAUGGACCACUGCUCAAUUGGACCUUCUAGUUUCUGUGAUGAAAGAGUAUGCAGAUGCUGCUAAAUUUCGUGGUCAGAAUGGAUGGACCAAAGAAGGAUGGAAAAGCAUGGCUACACGCUUGAACAAUCGGUUUUUGAGAGCUAAUUUUAUUGUUGAUCAACUAAAAUUUAGGGAGCAGCGGUUGAAGAAAGAAUAUUUUAUUGUCAAAUCUAUUAUAGAGAAGAGUGACUUCAGUUUUGAUCCUAUUACAAAAAUGCCAACAACCAUGGGAUGA
This 330-nucleotide ribosomal RNA is filed under the name Triticum aestivum (bread wheat). RNAcentral describes it as "partial small subunit ribosomal RNA". The record is from RNAcentral. Lineage: Eukaryota; Viridiplantae; Streptophyta; Magnoliopsida; Poales; Poaceae.